ACGGAAGGCAGCAGUGGGGGAUAUUGCACAAUGGGGGAAACCCUGAUGCAGCGACGCCGCGUGAGUGAUGAAGUAUUUCGGUAUGUAAAGCUCUAUCAGCAGGAAAGAUAAUGACGGUACCUGACUAGGAAGCACCGGCUAAAUACGUGCCAGCAGCCGCGGUAAUACGUAUGGUGCAAGCGUUAUCCGGAUUUACUGGGUGUAAAGGGAGCGCAGACGGCAUGGCAAGCCGGAUGUGAAAGGCAGGGGCUCAACUCCUGGACUGCAUUUGGAACUGUCAAGCUAGAGUAUCGGAGAGGUAAGUGGAAUUCCUAGUGUAGCGGUGAAAUGCGUAGAUAUUAGGAGGAACACCAGUGGCGAAGGCGGCUUACUGGACGAUAACUGACGUUGAGGCUCGAAAGCGUGGGGAGCAAACAGGAUUAGAUACCCUGGUA
Molecule: ribosomal RNA, 434 nt
Filed under: uncultured Clostridium sp.
Lineage: Bacteria; Bacillati; Bacillota; Clostridia; Eubacteriales; Clostridiaceae
Description: partial 16S ribosomal RNA
Rfam family: Bacterial small subunit ribosomal RNA
Source: RNAcentral